AUUUAAGUAGUUUAAUAAAAUAAUAGUUUGUGGGGCUAUUGAUAUACAGGGAUGUAUCUUAAAUC
This 65-nucleotide transfer RNA is filed under the name Euborellia annulipes. RNAcentral describes it as "tRNA-His". Lineage: Eukaryota; Metazoa; Arthropoda; Insecta; Dermaptera; Anisolabididae. The record is from RNAcentral.